This 737-nucleotide ribosomal RNA is filed under the name Escherichia sp. Its description in RNAcentral is "bacterial SSU rRNA". It matches the Rfam family "Bacterial small subunit ribosomal RNA", at positions 28 to 749 of the family's 1533-position model. The record is from RNAcentral. Lineage: Bacteria; Pseudomonadati; Pseudomonadota; Gammaproteobacteria; Enterobacterales; Enterobacteriaceae.
AUUGAACGCUAGCGGGAUGCUUUACACAUGCAAGUCGAACGGCAGCGCGAGAAAAGCUUGCUUUUCUUGGCGGCGAGUGGCGAACGGGUGAGUAAUAUAUCGGAACGUGCCCAGUAGCGGGGGAUAACUACGCGAAAGCGUGGCUAAUACCGCAUACGCCCUACGGGGGAAAGGGGGGGAUUCUUUUAGAACCUCUCACUAUUGGAGCGGCCGAUAUCAGAUUAGCUAGUUGGUGAGGUAAAGGCUCACCAAGGCCGCGAUCUGUAGCUGGUUUGAGAGGACGACCAGCCACACUGGGACUGAGACACGGCCCAGACUCCUACGGGAGGCAGCAGUGGGGAAUUUUGGACAAUGGGGGCAACCCUGAUCCAGCCAUCCCGCGUGUGCGAUGAAGGCCUUCGGGUUGUAAAGCACUUUUGGCAGGGAAGAAACGGCGCCGGUUAAUACCUGGCGUCACUGACGGUACCUGCAGAAUAAGCACCGGCUAACUACGUGCCAGCAGCCGCGGUAAUACGUAGGGUGCAAGCGUUAAUCGGAAUUACUGGGCGUAAAGCGUGCGCAGGCGGUUCGGAAAGAAAGAUGUGAAAUCCCAGAGCUUAACUUUGGAACUGCAUUUUUAACUCUCGAACUAGAGUAUGUCAGAGGGGGGUAGAAUUCCACGUGUAGCAGUGAAAUGCGUAGAGAUGUGGAGGAAUACCGAUGGCGAAGGCAGCCCCCUGGGAUAAUACUACGUCUCA